AUUGAACGCUGGCGGCAGGCCUAACACAUGCAAGUCGAGCGGAUGAAGGGAGCUUGCUCCUGGAUUCAGCGGCGGACGGGUGAGUAAAGCCUAGGAAUCUGCCUGGUAGUGGGGGAUAACGUCCGGAAACGGGCGCUAAUACCGCAUACGUCCUGAGGGAGAAAGUGGGGGAUCUUCGGACCUCACGCUAUCAGAUGAGCCUAGGUCGGAUUAGCUAGUUGGUGGGGUAAUGGCCUACCAAGGCGACGAUCCGUAACUGGUCUGAGAGGAUGAUCAGUCACACUGGAACUGAGACACGGUCCAGACUCCUACGGGAGGCAGCAGUGGGGAAUAUUGGACAAUGGGCGAAAGCCUGAUCCAGCCAUGCCGCGUGUGUGAAGAAGGUCUUCGGAUUGUAAAGCACUUUAAGUUGGGAGGAAGGGCAGUAAGUUAAUACCUUGCUGUUUUGACGUUACCAACAGAAUAAGCACCGGCUAACUUCGUG
Molecule: ribosomal RNA, 484 nt
Filed under: uncultured bacterium
Lineage: Bacteria
Description: partial 16S ribosomal RNA
Rfam family: Bacterial small subunit ribosomal RNA
Source: RNAcentral